UCACGAUAAGGGCAAACCCUGAGCGAUCAGGGGACGCAAAGGACAGGGUCUUGUAAGCGGUUUAAACCGCUUAAACCGUUCAAACGGCUUUGAAAAAGACAGCCUUACUGCCAAA
This 115-nucleotide non-coding RNA is filed under the name Candidatus Brocadia. Its description in RNAcentral is "c-di-GMP sequence". It matches the Rfam family "c-di-GMP-I riboswitch aptamer". Rfam says of the family: GEMM was predicted in a large-scale screen for bacterial structured RNA regulatory elements. Genes associated with GEMM are involved in a diverse array of functions, including chemotaxis regulation, signal transduction, secretion and chitin. RNAcentral also lists the same sequence under 1 other name. Lineage: Bacteria; Pseudomonadati; Planctomycetota; Candidatus Brocadiia; Candidatus Brocadiales; Candidatus Brocadiaceae. The record is from RNAcentral.